Molecule: ribosomal RNA, 756 nt
Filed under: uncultured bacterium
Lineage: Bacteria
Description: bacterial SSU rRNA
Rfam family: Bacterial small subunit ribosomal RNA
Source: RNAcentral
AGAGUUUGAUCAUGGCUCAGAAUCAACGCUGGCGGCGCGCUUAACACAUGCAAGUCGAACGAGAAAGGGGAGCGAUCCCUGAGUAAAGUGGCGUACGGGUGAGUAACACGUGGGUAAUCUACCUUUUGGUGGGGAAUAACCCUGGGAAACCGGGGCUAAUACCGCAUAAGCUCGAAAGAGGAAAGGAGCAAUUCGCCGAAAGAGGAGCCCGCGGCUGAUUAGCUAGUUGGUGAGGUAAAGGCUCACCAAGGCUAUGAUCGGUAGCCGGCCUGAGAGGGCACACGGCCACACUGGCACUGAAACACGGGCCAGACUCCUACGGGAGGCAGCAGUGGGGAAUCUUGCACAAUGGGGGAAACCCUGAUGCAGCGACGCCGCGUGAGCGAUGAAGCCCUUCGGGGUGUAAAGCUCUUUCGGCAGGGACGAUAAUGACGGUACCUGAAGAAGAAGCUGCGGCUAACUACGUGCCAGCAGCCGCGGUAAUACGUAGGCAGCGAGCGUUGUUCGGAGUUACUGGGCGUAAAGAGUGCGUAGGCGGUUUUCUAAGUUUGGUGUGAAAUCUCCCGGCUUAACUGGGAGGGUGCGCCGAAGACUGGAAGGCUAGAGUAUGGGAGAGGUAAGCGGAAUUCCUGGUGUAGCGGUGAAAUGCGUAGAUAUCAGGAGGAACACCUGCGGUGUAGACGGCUUACUGGACCAUAACUGACGCUGAGGCACGAAAGCGUGGGUAGCAAACAGGAUUAGAUACCCUAGUAGUCC